UCCGGUUGAUCCUGCCAGAGGCCGCUGCUAUCCGGCUGGGACUAAGCCAUGCUAGUCUAGGGGCUUGUACCCCUUCGGGGGUGCAAGCACCGGCGGACGGCUCAGUAACACGUGGACAACCUGCCCUCGGGUGGGGGAUAACCCCGGGAAACUGGGGCUAAUCCCCCAUAGGUGAUGGGUGCUGGAAUGCCCCAUCUCCGAAAGCGCUCAGCGCCCGAGGAUGGGUCUGCGGCGGAUUAGGUAGUUGGUGGGGUAACGGCCCACCAAGCCUAAGAUCCGUACGGGCUGUGGGAGCAGGAGCCCGGAGAUGGACCCUGAGACAAGGGUCCAGGCCCUACGGGGCGCAGCAGGCGCGAAACCUCCGCAAUGCGGGAAACCGCGACGGGGUUAGCCGGAGUGCCCGUGCAUUGCACGGGCUGUCGGGGUGCCUAAACAGCACCCCAUAGCAAGGGCCGGGCAAGGCCGGUGGCAGCCGCCGCGGUAAGACCGGCGGCCCGAGUGGCGGCCACUCUUAUUGGGCCUAAAGCGUCCGUAGCCGGCCCAGUAAGUCCCCCGGGAAAUCUGGUCGCUUAACGAUCAGACUUCCGGGGGAUACUGCUGGGCUAGGGAC
RNAcentral lists this ribosomal RNA (610 nucleotides) under uncultured archaeon. RNAcentral describes it as "bacterial SSU rRNA". It matches the Rfam family "Archaeal small subunit ribosomal RNA", at positions 1 to 599 of the family's 1478-position model. The record is from RNAcentral.